Molecule: long non-coding RNA, 382 nt
Organism: Haliotis rubra (blacklip abalone)
Lineage: Eukaryota; Metazoa; Mollusca; Gastropoda; Lepetellida; Haliotidae
Exons: 3
Source: RefSeq, a predicted model, not a curated record
GAAGCCACUGUCUUGGUAUUUCCUGAUACAUAAAUUUUUCUUCCCGAUUCAUUUUCGUUAUACUUCUAACAAUAUGUUUACUCUAAAAGGGCAAAAAAAUUAUACACUUUUAAACUAUGAACAUCGAUUUAUGGUUCUCAUCAUUCUACAAUAUUUUCAUACUUUGCUGGGCCUUCAAUUCAUGAAAAUAUUGCCUUAGGAGGACUGAGCUGAAACCGCUAUCCUCUAUACUACUGGAAUAUAUUCUGAUUUCGUUGUGUAUGAUAUUAUUUCCCUUUUCAUUACUUAAUCUUCGGUACUAUUCCUCUGGCCCUUGCGGGGCUGUGGGGUAGCCUAGAGGUCAAAGCGUUCGCUCGUCACGACGAAGAUCUGGGUUCGAUUC